This is a ribosomal RNA of Aspergillus ruber CBS 135680, 120 nucleotides long. The record is from Rfam. Lineage: Eukaryota; Fungi; Ascomycota; Eurotiomycetes; Eurotiales; Aspergillaceae.
ACAUACGACCAUAGGGUGUGGAGAACAGGGCUUCCCGUCCGCUCAGCCGUACUUAAGCCACACGCCGGCCGGUUAGUAGUUGGGUGGGUGACCACCAGCGAAUCCCGGCUGUUGUAUGUU